This 245-nucleotide ribosomal RNA is filed under the name uncultured bacterium. RNAcentral describes it as "partial small subunit ribosomal RNA". It matches the Rfam family "Bacterial small subunit ribosomal RNA", at positions 26 to 285 of the family's 1533-position model. The record is from RNAcentral.
AGAAUCAACGCUGGCGGCGUGCCUAACACAUGCAAGUCGAACGAGAAAGUGGAGCAAUCCAUGAGUAAAGUGGCGCACGGGUGAGUAACACGUGACUAACCUACCCUUGAGUGGGGGAUAACCUAGAGAAAUCUGGGCUAAUACCGCAUAAUACCUUCGGGUCAAAGGAGCAAUUCGCUUAAGGAGGGGGUCGCGGCCGAUUAGUUAGUUGGCGGGGUAAUGGCCCACCAAGACUAUGGUCGGUA